GGAUAGCUCAGUGGUAGAGUGUGUGUUUAGCAUGCAUGAGGUCCUGGGUUUAAUCCCCAGUAUAUCCA
Molecule: transfer RNA, 68 nt
Filed under: Camelus bactrianus (Bactrian camel)
Lineage: Eukaryota; Metazoa; Chordata; Mammalia; Artiodactyla; Camelidae
Also listed under: 2 other names
Rfam family: tRNA
About the family: Transfer RNA (tRNA) molecules are approximately 80 nucleotides in length.
Source: Rfam by way of RNAcentral